GUGGGGAAUCUUGCGCAAUGGGCGAAAGCCUGACGCAGCCAUGCCGCGUGCAGGAAGAAGGCGCUACGCGUUGUAAACUGCUUUUAACCGGGAAGAAACCCCAGGACGUGUCCUGGGUUGACGGUACCGGAGGAAUAAGCACCGGCUAACUUCGUGCCAGCAGCCGCGGUAAUACGAAGGGUGCAAGCGUUAUCCGGAUUCAUUGGGUUUAAAGGGUGCGUAGGCGGAGCGUUAAGUCAGUGGUGAAAUCCUGCAGCUUAACUGUAGACUUGCCAUUGAUACUGGCGCUCUUGAGUGCGCUUGAAGUGGGCGGAAUGUGCCGUGUAGCGGUGAAAUGCUUAGAUAUGGCACAGAACACCAAUUGCGAAGGCAGCUCACUAAGGCGAUACUGACGCUGAGGCACGAAAGCGUGGGGAUCGAACAGGAUUUGAUACCCCAGUAGUCC
Molecule: ribosomal RNA, 445 nt
Filed under: uncultured bacterium
Lineage: Bacteria
Description: partial 16S ribosomal RNA
Rfam family: Bacterial small subunit ribosomal RNA
Source: RNAcentral